RNAcentral lists this ribosomal RNA (651 nucleotides) under Ogataea sithepensis. Its description in RNAcentral is "LSU rRNA". It matches the Rfam family "Eukaryotic large subunit ribosomal RNA", at positions 38 to 709 of the family's 3401-position model. Lineage: Eukaryota; Fungi; Ascomycota; Pichiomycetes; Pichiales; Pichiaceae. The record is from RNAcentral.
GCAUAUCAAUAAGCGGAGGAAAAGAAACCAACAGGGAUUGCCUUAGUAGCGGCGAGUGAAGCGGCAAGAGCUCAAAUUUGAAAUCUGGUACCUUCGGUGCCCGAGUUGUAAUUUGAAGAAGGGUAUCUUGACUUUGGCCUUUGUCUAUGUUCCUUGGAACAGGACGUCACAGAGGGUGAGAAUCCCGUGCGAUGAGGUGUCCUUUGUCAUUUAAGAUCCUUUCGAAGAGUCGAGUUGUUUGGGAAUGCAGCUCUAAGUGGGUGGUAAAUUCCAUCUAAAGCUAAAUAUUGGCGAGAGACCGAUAGCGAACAAGUACAGUGAUGGAAAGAUGAAAAGAACUUUGAAAAGAGAGUGAAAAAGUACGUGAAAUUGUUGAAAGGGAAGGGUAUUAGAUCAGACUUGGUAUUUAGUUAUCAUUGCUCCUUGUGGGUGGUGCUCUAGCUGUUUACUGGGCCAGCAUCAGUUUUGGUGGCAGGAUAAUGACAUUUGAAUGUGGCUCUCUCGGGAGUGUUAUAGCUUUUGUUGAUGCUGCCUACCGGGACUGAGGUCUGCGGCUUUGCCUAGGAUGCUGGCGUAAUGAUCCAAUACCGCCCGUCUUGAAACAUGGACCAAGGAGUCUAACGUCUAUGCGAGUGUUUGGGUGUAAAACCC